CAGUGCCUCUAAGGCACGGCUGAAUUUUUCAGUUUUACCCCCAGCAUUGAUUUUGGCCGCGGGGGCCUAGGUACCAUGUAUCCUUGACAACACAACAGAGGCGCUGAGGUGACGCUCUUACUUCAGAUAUGGCGAAUUUUGUGAGCGAAUUUCGUAGUUUUAGAGUGUAUAACAAAGGAAAUUGGCCGAAAUAUCAUGGAAUAAAUGGUCUGCAAGUAGUUUCUUUCGGAAUGUCUAUUGCGGGGAAAAGAGAGGGAGACGGUCCCCCGAAGAAUUGCCUGCUGUCUCUCAGUAAGGGAUAUGGCCUCCAAAUUCAGAGUGUAGGCCAAGUCGCUGGUCAUGUCACAGUGUACUUCACAGUGUUUGCUGGCUCAAACGACAAUGCUCUACGCCCACGCUCCCAUCCUCUAAUGGACUGUCCACUUCCAUAACAUCUAAUAAUUAAUUGUUUUGUGUUGCAAGUUUAUCCCUGGAACAGAUGACAGGGCACUGGCAAGUGAACACUGGUACUGUUCUUGGAAACUUUCCUCAUAUUGCUCAAAGAGAGCUCUUGCAACAUUUGUAGCAUCACGUUUUCGUGCUUUUACAGUAGGGGUUGCAUUUCGCAGACGCUGAGCCUCGUUGUUAGCGGCAAAUAUAAUAUUUUGCUUUGCUUUCCCCUUGAAGAAAUUUGAGGUGACUGGGAAGUAUGACAUAACCUCUGUGUAUCUGAUUGCACAGGCUUUACAGUUCUGAAAUGAAUGUUCCUUUCUUCUAUUUUCAGAUAAACCUUGCCAUUUCUCUCUAGAGAAAGUCUCCAUAAACUUUGAUUUUUCCUCA
Molecule: long non-coding RNA, 819 nt
Organism: Nematostella vectensis (starlet sea anemone)
Lineage: Eukaryota; Metazoa; Cnidaria; Anthozoa; Actiniaria; Edwardsiidae
Exons: 4
Source: RefSeq, a predicted model, not a curated record